CCUACGGGAGGCAGCAGUGGGGAAUAUUGGUCAAUGGUCGGGAGACUGAACCAGCCAAGCCGCGUGAGGGAUGAAGGUACAGAGUAUCGUAAACCUCUUUUGUCAGGGAACAAAGGCGGGGACGCGUCCCCGGAUGAGUGUACCUGAAGAAAAAGCAUCGGCUAACUCCGUGCCAGCAGCCGCGGUAAUACGGAGGAUGCGAGCGUUAUCCGGAUUUAUUGGGUUUAAGGGGUGCGCAGGCGGUCUGUUAAGUCAGCGGUAAAAGCCCGGGGCUCAACCCCGGCCCGCCGUUGAAACUGGCAGUCUCGAGUUGGAGAGAAGUACGCGGAAUGCGCGGUGUAGCGGUGAAAUGCAUAGAUAUCGCGCAGAACUCCGAUUGCGAAGGCAGCAUGCCGGCUCCACACUGACGCUGAGGCACGAAAGCGUGGGUAUCGAACAGGAUUAGAUACCCGAGUAGUC
RNAcentral lists this ribosomal RNA (459 nucleotides) under uncultured bacterium. RNAcentral describes it as "partial 16S ribosomal RNA". It matches the Rfam family "Bacterial small subunit ribosomal RNA", at positions 338 to 795 of the family's 1533-position model. The record is from RNAcentral.